CGCGUGCAGCUCUGGCAGCCGCGUUGCCGGUGCUCUAGGCCCUUGCGCCCGCCCACCGCCAGCCAGGGAUAAUCACCUGCGGGCUGGAAUCCCGCUGCAGGUUCUCACCCUGUCCCAACUCGCCGCGAGACUAGUAACCGUCAGGAAGCACUUUGCCCGGUAGGGAUUUCUGUUUAGUCGUUGUCUUCCAGGAAACAGCUUCCUCAGUUUGGAGUCAGCUCUCCGGCUGCAGAAGCCAGAGACUCAGCAGCGGAGCCGCAGCCUCAGCACCUCCCUCUCAGGCUGCCGCUCAGCAGCGGUCCGGCCUCCUCCCACCCGAGCGCACUUCGGCUUCCCGCCGCGCGGGGUCGGAAGCCUCGCGCUAGCCCCUGCGGUCUCGGGCACCACGCCCUGCGAGGCGGCCGUCUUCUCGCUGGCCCCGUCGCCUGGCCCCUCUGGUGGCCGCCUGCAUGGGCACCUACCGCCGCGCAGCCAGGGCUCUCCUGGCGCGAGCCCGCACCCUGCACCUGCAGGCUGGGAACCUGCUGAGCUGGGGCCGUCUGCAGAGGAAGUGUCUUUCCACGCACAGCGAGGAGGAUGCUGGGGAUGAAACUCAGGGUCUCACACAUGCUAUCCAAGGGCUCCACCACUGAACUACACUGGGACAGUGUGUGCUGAUGCACACAGUUUUCUGAAAAACAUUGUUCAGAGGAUUAAUUCUGCUUCAAGAUUGUAUCCAAAAGACCUUGAAUGAGUGGAGUUCCCAAAUCAGCCUGGAUUUGGUCAGGAUAAGUGGAAAGUGACUGCAGAAAUCCUGCAGGUCAAAAGGGAAGUGAAGUAAGCAGGAAGUUAACUUCCUAAGUUUGGGAGGGAAGUCAAAUAGCCAUCAAACCCCUUGUGGCUGAGUUGCUGAGAUGACAAUCUGAUCCAGCUGAAUUAAGCAUAAAGCAAAAAAAAAUCUGGACUCUGCAGGCAACUCUUCACCUAGACAAGAUGAUGGGAUUCUCAUGCUGAAUUCCCACUAGUUUCUUCACCAGUAGUGUCUUCUUUCUAUUGAUAUUGGUCUGGUAGAAGAAUGAUUAUCAGUCAGCUUUGAUUGGUAGAUUACUUAGAUAGAAUAUCCCCUCCAAUAAUAUAGUCCCUAGAAAUAAUUUCUAUAGUGAACAAUAAGGAACAAUAUUUCAUUAAAUGUCAGUAUAUGAUUAUUAUUGUAAAUGUUAAUAUAAAAGUACCUGUCUAUAACCACCCUGAAAUCCAGAUUCCUUUAAAAGAGUAAAAGAGGAUAUGUGCUGGAAACACUUGUUCCCUUGUUCAUACUGCAGAUUUAUAACUCUGUAGCUACUGUGCAGGCAUUGAUUAAUGUCUUUGAUUUCUGCUUCUCUGAAAUGACCAUUUACCUUAUGUAUGCCUGACUUGUAACUGGAUUCCUGGUAUGUACGAGGUAAUGUAAUGGGCUCGUGAAUCAUGGCAAAGGCCUCACUGUUUUCUUUGUUAAAUCUUGUUCUGUAAAUUAGUGUUUCUUACUGAUAUGUAUUAACAUUUUUAAUCGCUAUCCUUAUAAAUUAUUCAUUAUAAUGCAUUAGAAUGGCCCUUGCUUUUUUAAAACAUUGCACUCAGGGAAAAAAUCGUUUAAAAAUGUUUGUGAUUACAAGACUAAACAUGUAGUCUAGCUAGAUAUUUAUCAAUUGAAUUGAUCUUUUCAAACAACUAGCUUUUUGGUUACAUUGAUUUAUGUUUUUAUCAUUAUUUCUUUUUACUUUGGAUGUAAUUCUCUCUGUUUUCUAGGUUCUCCAUGGUAGAGAGGAUACCAGUAGACAUUACAACAUAUUUAGCACCAUCAUCCAUUUGAUGUUGGUGGGUUCUUGGUCUUGAAAAUGGACGUGGACUUUCCAUUGAUGACAAGCUUUGUGUUCUCAGCCUUAACUGUGUCAUUGAAUUCCCAAUGGGUGUAACAGGUAGGUGUGCAGUUGAGGUCAAUGAAGGGGUCACUGAUGGCAACAACACUUACUUUGCCAGA
Molecule: long non-coding RNA, 1996 nt
Organism: Marmota monax (woodchuck)
Lineage: Eukaryota; Metazoa; Chordata; Mammalia; Rodentia; Sciuridae
Exons: 3
Source: RefSeq, a predicted model, not a curated record